Molecule: non-coding RNA, 940 nt
Filed under: Pan troglodytes (chimpanzee)
Lineage: Eukaryota; Metazoa; Chordata; Mammalia; Primates; Hominidae
Source: RNAcentral
GAGAGACGCGCAACUCCGCUCCGCACUGUGCGCCAGCAUCCCCGGGGCACCGAGGGCGCUGCGGCCCGCCCGGAGACCCCCCACCCAGGCUGGAUCCGGGCCCUGGGGCCCAGGGAGCGGCUUUAAAGAGUAAGAGCAGCGCACCCGGCUCCCUCCUGCUAAUUAGAUUUCAGAUUCCCCUCUGGCCUCAGUACUCAUUCCGGGGAAGACACCUGCUGAGAUGUCUUUUUCCCCCUCCCCCAACCAAACCACUCAGGUCCUGCCUGCUCUUUCCCGGCUUGAUGCGGGCGUGUUUUCCUGUAUGUAUUUUUUCGCGCGGCCACAAAAAGCAUCAGCUGGGGUUCCCGAAGGUCAGAAAAUGGCUAUUGAUUAAUCUACUAGAAUAGUUGCCGAGAGAAAUAAAAACGACGUAAAAUAACAGGGAACCUACAAAUAAAGAAGCCAUAACUGGCUACUUGGAGUUGUUAAACGACUUAGCAUAUGAAAAAAUCGGAAAUGAGGCGCUGGGGAAGGAGCUGGGAUUGGCAGCGGCCUGGGUGUGGACAAAUCCUCCAAGAUUUAACUUCCAAGAAAACCGGCGGCGGAGCGGGUGGAGGAGGCGAGGAUGUGUGGCCAGUGCACGCGGAGUGCAAGGCCGCCUAGUUGGGAGCCGCAAGAGCCUGCCUGGUGUGGCAGGCACACGGAACCCAAUCCCUGUCUGUCCGCUGCGGCCUGGGAGGGGAGCGCCGGCCUCACCAGAGGAAGGAGCACGAGGGGAGGAGUUCCGAGAGGAAAUAAUUAGUGAAAUAUUUGCAGAAGAUGCUGGGAUGUGGAUUUAAUUCCGGAUGGACAGUGGUGCUUCUGAUUCCCUCAGUCUGUUUCCCCACCCACGAUCUCCUCUUUCCUUGGCCUAGACACACCAAAAAUAAUUCAAUAAAAUAAAAAUAAAAAUUUAAAAAUC